UUCAUCAAUAUACAGAAGAGGUACUCUAUAAGAAUUUCUUACACAUAGCUCAGGAACAAGGAAACCUAAUCAACAUGUAUAAUUGUAAAUCUAACUAGGAAUAUAAAAACAGUAAAAAUGAAUUCAACUUCUAAUAUCAUCUUCGUUCAACAGGAAAUUCAGAUCCUUUACAUGUUCAGAGAGAAAUCUUCAAGCAUGAGAUAAGGAAAAUACCUUAUUACAGCUGUAAACAAGGAAGCUUAUGAGCUUAGGUAACAACAUAGCAGUAAAUCAAAUAGCAGAAUUCAACAGCAGCAGAUAAAGCCAGCAGCAAUAUGUGAACCCAGAAAUGAACAAAGGAAAUAAAUUUUGGAAUAAUUUUUGAACAAGUAACAAUGUUAAAUAACCCCAGCAAUCAAACACCAACCAAAAACUUUCCGAAAUACUUGACUACCAACAGCAUUCAACUCAUUUUAACUUCUGAAUAUUCAAAGCUUGUUUCAACAUAUGAAAACCUCAAAGAUGCCAGGAAAGCUUUAAUAGAACAAUAUUUUAUGCAGGGUUUACUGCUCUCUCUUUUUUUAAUAUUUUUUCUAGGAUUCUAGCUUUCCAUUUCUGUAUGCUCUCAAGUUUUUAAUUCUCAAAAAUUCUCUACAAAUCUGAUCUUUCUCUUUUUUUAAGCCUGGAAGUAAUGCCUUUAUAGGCAAGUAAGUAGGGCAAAUUUAAGAUUUUAUUUUAGUAUUAGGUCCUCUUUUAAUUUUUUGUUUUAGCUUAGGAACCCUUAAAACUGUUACUUGCAACCCAAGUCAACCUAUCCAAAAGCUGAAAAUGAAAUUAACCCCCACACUAGAAGCUUCUAAAUUUGUUAUGAAAAGACCUAACCUAGAGUUCCUAAGCUACCCCUGUAAUUUACCCUCUAGUUUUCGAUGGACAAUUAAACCUUUU
RNAcentral lists this long non-coding RNA (924 nucleotides) under Nicotiana benthamiana. Its description in RNAcentral is "long non-coding RNA (NBEN_LNC039896)". Lineage: Eukaryota; Viridiplantae; Streptophyta; Magnoliopsida; Solanales; Solanaceae. The record is from RNAcentral.